RNAcentral lists this long non-coding RNA (4032 nucleotides) under Zosterops lateralis melanops. RNAcentral's name for it is "lncRNA (ENSZLMG00000000010.1)". Lineage: Eukaryota; Metazoa; Chordata; Aves; Passeriformes; Zosteropidae. The record is from RNAcentral.
UACGUGAGAUACUGCUCAGCAUUGAGCUGCAAUGUUUUGAAAAUGUGGAGGGAAAUWAAUGAAGUAACAUUAUAUUUCUUGAUGCUGAUCUCCAAGAACUGGACAGGUGGAAAGAAAUACACAGGACCAUGUGGAGGCAGAGACUGCAGUGGAGGAUGUCAGUGUUUCCCUGAAAAAGGAAGCCGUGGCCAGCCAGGACUCCUUGGAGCACAGGGAUUCACUGGACCACCAGGAUUGAUGGGGAUACCAGGAGUGCAAGGUCCCAAAGGUCACAAAGGUGAAAGAGGACACCCAGGAAUAACUGGACCGAAAGGAGAAGUGGGACAAAGAGGAGUCACUGGAUUCCCCGGGGCAGAUGGCAUUCCUGGUCAUCCAGGCCAGCCAGGACCAAGGGGGAAACCAGGUCAUGAUGGCUGUAAUGGGACAGCAGGUGACCCUGGUGACUCGGGAACUCCUGGAUUCUCUGGUUUCCCUGGUAGCAUUGUAAAAAUUGUUUUGAACUUCUUCCCUGGUUUUGUUUCAGGGGAUGGGGAUAAGCCUGGCUUACCUGGAGAAAUGGGACCAAAAGGUGAAAAGGGUGAAAUAGGAUCUCCUGCUUAUUUUGCGGGACCCCCUGGGCUUCCGGGUAAGGAUGGCUCGCCAGGACUUCGCGGUCCGCCUGGUCCCGUUGGAGCCCCUGGUAAGUGCAUAAAAACGAGAGGUAGAGUGAGAAUUCUUAUCACCUGUAUUUUCCUAUUAUUUAUAGUACUAAUGAAAGAUUGGUCUCACAAUGGAAGUUCUUCUUUAGGCACCAAAGGAAUCCGAGGAGAUCCCGGGCUGCCUGGAAUCAGAGGUGAAGAUGGUUUCCCAGGCAGAGAUGGAUUAGAUGGUUUACCAGGUCAGCCUGGCCUUCCGGGUGAUGCUAUCAGAGGUUUCCCUGGUGAUCCUGGUUAUCCAGGUGAAUUAGGCCCAAAGGGCUUUCCAGGAGAAGCAGGCCUGCCAGGUGAAGGAUUUCCUGGUCCAAAAGGGUUCCGRGGUCCUCCAGGUGAUCAAGGACAAGCUGGAAUCCCAGGAUCUCCAGGUCUGCCUGGUCUGCCAGGAGAGCCUGGCCAACUAGGUAAGAGACACCACUCUGUCUUACAUCAGAGCCAUGGGAGAUCAGCACUGAGUUGUGUGCAGCAUUUAUGUAGCACACUGUUAAAGAGGAACAGCUUGGUGGGGGUUAUGUGGGGUGCAAAAGGUGCAAGAGGAUUCCCAGGUGAUCCAGGUCCAAUGGGUUACCCAGGGCUAAAUGGUACACGAGGCGAUCCAGGUCGGGAAGGAUUCCCAGGUCCUCCAGGUUUUACUGGACCCAGGGGAGACAGAGGCCCAAAUGGUCUACCUGGACUGCAGGGACACCCAGGCCUUACAGGAAAAUCCGGAGCUCCCGGAGCACCAGGACCGAAGGGCCUUCCUGGUGACGUGUUUGGAGCAGCAGCAGGUUCCCGAGGCGAUGUCGGCCUCCCCGGCUUCCCAGGGCAGAAAGGUGCACCAGGAGAUCAAGGAGUUCCAGGAACUAGAGGAUUGGAUGGUGGCCCAGGUUUGCCAGGACCCAAAGGAGAUCCAGGACCACAAGGUCUCCCUGGUUUGAUGGGAUUACCAGGAACGCCAGGAACACAUGGAUUCCCAGGUCCACCAGGAAACCGUGGGCCAGAUGGUGGGCCUGGCUCUCAAGGACCUCUCGGUCCACCUGGUGCUAGGGGAGAAGAUGGUGAGCAAGGUUUUCCUGGCCCCGUGGGCCUGAAGGGUCUGUCUGGUGACAAAGGUGACAUGGGUCACACGGGAUUACCGGGUAUACGUGGUGUGACUGGUCCYCCUGGCAUAAGAGGAAUGGAUGGCUUUCCAGGAGACAAAGGCUUAAAAGGUUCACCCGGCGUUGAUGGUUUCAAAGGCAUGACAGGCCUGAAAGGAAGACCAGGCAUGAAGGGAAUCAAAGGAGAAUUUGGCCCACUUGGGGCUCGGGGAGAUAAAGGCUCACAGGGUGCACGUGGCUUCAAAGGUGACCGUGGGGAUCAAGGCCCCCCAGGAGAACCUCCAAAGCUCAUGCCCAGCAUGAUGAUGGAAGUUAAAGGUGAAAAAGGAGAUGUUGGAGAAAGGGGCACAAAGGGAUUCUUUGGCUUAAAAGGUAGCAAGGGAAUGCCAGGCCUUCCUGGAAAGACAGGAACCCCAGGGUCCCCUGGGCAUCCCAGCUACGUGGCUGGUGUAAAAGGAGACAUCGGUGCAAAAGGGCUGACAGGUGUGAAAGGGUAUCCUGGUCCUGCUGGCUCUCCUGGCAUCAGAGGCUUCCCUGGCACCACAGGAAUCAGAGUGAGUCCAUUUCAUGUUAUGCUUGUUUUCUUAGGGUUGUAUAGAUAUUAUAAAAGAUUGUACUGUUUUUUUGGUUUUCCAGGCAUAAGAGGAGGCGUGGGACCAAAAGGAGAAGGUGGUGAUCCUGGUUUCCCUGGUAUUGAAGGCCUCAAGGGCACGCAGGGUGUCCCUGGCUCUUUGGGACAGGAAGGUUUGCCAGGACUGGUUGGCCCCCCAGGGCAGCAAGGAAGCCCUGGGACGCCUGGAUUUCCAGGUGAAAAGGGAACUCCCGGCUGGCCUGGCUUACCAGGACAAGCAGGUAUUUGUACAGCUUCAGCUAUUCAAUCAUCUCUUUGUGUGCACUUGCAAAUGUUCCUUUGGUGUCAAGAAGAAGAAGAAAGGAGGUUUUUGCAGGUCAGAGUGGCAGUUUCCUCUACUAAAAUAUUUAUUCCUCACAAAGGGCAGCCGGGAAUACCUGCUCCACCAGGGAGCAAAGGAGAAAGUGGACAAAUAGGUAGGGCUGGAGAAAUUGGCCCAAAAGGAACUAGAGGUGACCCUGGAUCAUCAGGAACACCUGGUCUCCCUGGAUUCCCUGGACCAAAAGGUCCUAAGGGUGAACAAGGUGUCAUUGGCUUUAUGGGCACAGUAGGAUUUCCAGGUAAUCUGGGACCUAUCGGACAAAAGGGAGACAGAGGAGUAACUGGUAAGUGUGUGUUCUCAGAUGUGACUCCCUUUGAAACCACUCAUUCUGCAGCUCCACAGAGUUUCAGAGGCUCACCUGGAGAGCCAGGACUCCAGGGCAGGGGUGGCAUUCCAGCUCCUCCUGGCUCCAGAGGGGAACAAGGAGGAAUGGGAUUUCAGGGUCCGGUGGGAUUCGAAGGCCAGCCGGGGCGCCCCGGCAGCCCUGGCCCCCCAGGCAUGCCGGGCCGCAGUGUCAGCAUGGGAUACCUGCUGGUGAAGCACAGCCAGUCCGACCAGGAGCCCAUGUGCCCAGUUGGCAUGAACAAACUCUGGAGUGGAUACAGUCUGCUGUAUUUUGAAGGACAAGAGAAAGCACACAACCAGGAUCUAGGGCUGGCUGGCUCAUGUUUGUCUCGUUUUAGCACCAUGCCAUUCCUCUACUGUAACCCUGGGGAUAUUUGUUAUUAUGCAAGUCGAAAUGAUAAAUCCUACUGGCUCUCAACUACAGCACCUCUUCCAAUGAUGCCCGUGGCAGAAGAAGACAUUAAGCCAUAUAUCAGUCGCUGCUCAGUUUGUGAGGCCCCAGCUGUGGCAAUUGCUGUCCACAGCCAAGAAGCUUCUAUUCCUCACUGCCCUGAAGGCUGGCGCAGUUUGUGGAUUGGAUACUCCUUCCUUAUGCACACUGCUGCUGGUGAUGAAGGUGGAGGACAGUCGCUGGUUUCUCCUGGGAGCUGCCUGGAGGAUUUCAGGGCGACUCCUUUCAUUGAAUGCAAUGGUGCCCGCGGAACCUGUCACUACUUUGCAAAUAAAUACAGCUUCUGGCUCACCACCAUCGACCAACCCUUCCAAAGCAAACCCUCGGGAGACACACUCAAGGCAGGACUCAUCCGAAGCCAUAUCAGCAGAUGUCAAGUCUGUAUGAAAAACCUAUAGAAGUCUCUCACAGUAUAAGGAACCGUCUUAUCACGUAGUUCUUAUACACAGGAGCCUUCUGUGGUGGUUAGACAACUGAAUAAAUCAUGUUGGUGCUUUUUUUAACUUAUUACC